Molecule: ribosomal RNA, 468 nt
Filed under: uncultured bacterium
Lineage: Bacteria
Description: partial 16S ribosomal RNA
Rfam family: Bacterial small subunit ribosomal RNA
Source: RNAcentral
GACGAACGCUGGCGGCGUGCUUAACACAUGCAAGUCGAACGGAAAGGCGCUGCUUUUGCGGGGUGCUCGAGUGGCGAACGGGUGAGUAACACGUGAGUAACCUGCCCUUGACUUUGGGAUAACUUCAGGAAACUGGGGCUAAUACCGGAUAGGAGCUCCUGCUGCAUGGUGGGGGUUGGAAAGUUUCGGCGGUUGGGGAUGGACUCGCGGCUUAUCAGCUUGUUGGUGGGGUAGUUGCUUACCAAGGCUUUGACGGGUAGCCGGCCUGAGAGGGUGACCGGCCACAUUGGGACUGAGAGACGGCCCAGACUCCUACGGGAGGCAGCAGUGGAGAAUAUUGCACAAUGGGCGGAAGCCUGAGACGACGACGUCGCGUUCGGAAUGACGGCCUUCGGGUUGUAAACCGCUUUCGCCUGUGACGAAGCGUGAGUGACGGUAAUUGGUAAAGAAGCACCGGCUAACUACGUG